UACACUCCUGCGGGAGGCAGCAGUGGGGAAUUUUGGACAAUGGGCGAAAGCCUGAUCCAGCAAUGCCGCGUGAGUGAAGAAGGCCUUCGGGUUGUAAAGCUCUUUUGUCAGGGAAGAAACGGUGAGAGCUAAUAUCUUUUGCUAAUGACGGUACCUGAAGAAUAAGCACCGGCUAACUACGUGCCAGCAGCCGCGGUAAUACGUAGGGUGCAAGCGUUAAUCGGAAUUACUGGGCGUAAAGCGUGCGCAGGCGGUUUUGUAAGUCUGAUGUGAAAUCCCCGGGCUCAACCUGGGAAUUGCAUUGGAGACUGCAAGGCUAGAAUCUGGCAGAGGGGGGUAGAAUUCCACGUGUAGCAGUGAAAUGCGUAGAUAUGUGGAGGAACACCGAUGGCGAAGGCAGCCCCCUGGGUCAAGAUUGACGCUCAUGCACGAAAGCGUGGGGAGCAAACAGGAUUAGAUACCCCAGUAGUCCC
This 473-nucleotide ribosomal RNA is filed under the name uncultured organism. RNAcentral's name for it is "partial 16S ribosomal RNA". It matches the Rfam family "Bacterial small subunit ribosomal RNA", at positions 332 to 797 of the family's 1533-position model. The record is from RNAcentral.